Molecule: transfer RNA, 77 nt
Filed under: Prevotellaceae bacterium
Lineage: Bacteria; Pseudomonadati; Bacteroidota; Bacteroidia; Bacteroidales; Prevotellaceae
Description: tRNA-Arg
Rfam family: tRNA
About the family: Transfer RNA (tRNA) molecules are approximately 80 nucleotides in length. Their secondary structure includes four short double-helical elements and three loops (D, anti-codon, and T loops). Further hydrogen bonds mediate the characteristic L-shaped molecular structure. tRNAs have two regions of fundamental functional importance: the anti-codon, which is responsible for specific mRNA codon recognition, and the 3' end, to which the tRNAs corresponding amino acid is attached (by aminoacyl-tRNA synthetases). tRNAs cope with the degeneracy of the genetic code in two manners: having more than one tRNA (with a specific anti-codon) for a particular amino acid; and 'wobble' base-pairing, i.e. permitting non-standard base-pairing at the 3rd anti-codon position.
Source: RNAcentral
GGCCGCGUAGUUCAGCGAAUUAGAACAUCAGAUUCCGGUUCUGAAAGUCGGGGGUUUGAAUCCCUCCGCGGUCACCA